This 863-nucleotide long non-coding RNA is filed under the name Rattus norvegicus (Norway rat). RNAcentral describes it as "long non-coding RNA NONRATT002934". The record is from RNAcentral. Lineage: Eukaryota; Metazoa; Chordata; Mammalia; Rodentia; Muridae.
UGGCUCUAUCGGCGGUGUGUGGCGGCGAAUGGUGGCGAGAUGUCUCACAGGAAAUUCUCAGCUCUUAGGCAUGAGUCCUUGGGCUUCUUGCCUCGGAAGCACAGCAGCCGGCAUCGUGGGAAAGAGAAGAGCUUCCCUAAGGAUGACCCUUCCAAGCCUGUUCACCUCACAGCCUUUCUAGGGUAAAAGGCUGGCAUGACCCACACUGUCCAAGAAGUUGACCAGCCAGGUGAACAAGAAAGAAGUGGAGGCUGUGACCAUUGUGGAAGCCCCACUCACGGUGGUUGUGGGCAUUGUGGGAUAUGUAGAAACCCUACGAGGCCUCCGUACCUUCCAGGCUGUAUUUGCUGAGCGUAUCAGCGAUGAGUGUAAAAGGCGUUUCUCUAAGAAUUGGCACAAAUCUAAGAAGAAGGCUUUUUACCAAAUACUGUAAGAAACGGAAAGAUGACACAGGCAAGAAGCAGCUGGAGAAGGACUUCAACAGCAUGAAGAAGAAUUUCCAGGUCAUCUGAAUAAUUGCCCAGAUGCGUCUGCUUCCUCUGCGCCAGAAGAAGGCACACCUGAUGGAGAUCCGGGUGACUGGGGGCACUGUGACUGAGAAGCUAGACUGGGCCCGAGGCUGGAGCAGCAGGUCCCGGUGAACCAGGUGUUUGGGCAGGAUGAGAUGAUUGAUGUCAUCGGUGUGACAAAAGGCAAAGGCUACAAAGUGGUGACCAGUCGUUGGCAUACAAAGAAGCUGCCCCAAAAGACCCAUCGAGGUCUGUGCAAAGUUGCCUGUAUUAGAGCUUGGCACCCUGCCCCUGUAGCCUUCUCUGUGGCUCGAGCUGGGCAGAAAGGCUACCAUCACCGAACAGAGAUCAACA